UACAGAGGUCUCAAGCGUUGUUCGGAAUCACUGGGCGUAAAGGGCGCGUAGGCGGCCGCUCAAGUCGGGGGUGAAAGCCUGUGGCUUAACCACAGAAUUGCCUUCGAUACUGUUUGGCUUGAGACCGGAAGAGGUUAGUGGAACUGCGAGUGUAGAGGUGAAAUUCGUAGAUAUUCGCAAGAACACCAGUGGCGAAGGCGGCUGACUGGUCCGGUUCUGACGCUGAGGCGCGAAAGCGUGGGGAGCAAACAGG
Molecule: ribosomal RNA, 253 nt
Filed under: uncultured bacterium
Lineage: Bacteria
Description: partial 16S ribosomal RNA
Rfam family: Bacterial small subunit ribosomal RNA
Source: RNAcentral